GGAUUGUUAGCUCAGUUGGGAGAGCAGGUGCCUUACAAGCAUCAGGUCGUAGGUUCGAGCCCUAUACAAUCCA
This is a non-coding RNA of Biomphalaria glabrata, 73 nucleotides long. Lineage: Eukaryota; Metazoa; Mollusca; Gastropoda; Planorbidae. The record is from Rfam.